This 487-nucleotide ribosomal RNA is filed under the name uncultured bacterium. RNAcentral describes it as "partial 16S ribosomal RNA". It matches the Rfam family "Bacterial small subunit ribosomal RNA", at positions 28 to 507 of the family's 1533-position model. The record is from RNAcentral.
GAUGAACGCUAGCGAUAGGCUUAACACAUGCAAGUCGAGGGGCAGCACAAGGUAGCUUGCUAUCUGGGUGGCGACCGGCGCACGGGUGCGUAACGCGUAUGCAACUUGCCCUAUACAGGAGGAUAACCCGUCGAAAGACGGACUAAUACUGCGUAUGCUCACAACUUGGCAUCAAGUGGUGAGGAAAGAAAUUCGGUAUAGGAUAGGCAUGCGUCCCAUUAGCUUGUUGGUGAGGUAACGGCUCACCAAGGCAACGAUGGGUAGGGGAACUGAGAGGUUUAUCCCCCACACUGGUACUGAGACACGGACCAGACUCCUACGGGAGGCAGCAGUGAGGAAUAUUGAUCAAUGGGCGCGAGUCUGAACCAGCCAAGUCGCGUGAAGGAUGACUGUCUUAUGGAUUGUAAACUUCUUUUAUACGGGAAUAACAAGAGUCACGUGUGACUCCCUGCAUGUACCGUAUGAAUAAGCAUCGGCUAACUCCGUG